Molecule: ribosomal RNA, 1451 nt
Filed under: uncultured bacterium
Lineage: Bacteria
Description: bacterial SSU rRNA
Rfam family: Bacterial small subunit ribosomal RNA
Source: RNAcentral
UGCGGCAGGCCUAACACAUGCAAGUCGAACGGUAACAGGAAACAGCUUGCUGUUUCGCUGACGAGUGGCGGACGGGUGAGUAAUGUCUGGGAAACUGCCCGAUGGAGGGGGAUAACUACUGGAAACGGUAGCUAAUACCGCAUAACAUCGCAAGACCAAAGAGGGGGACCUUCGGGCCUCUUGCCAUCGGAUGUGCCCAGAUGGGAUUAGCUAGUAGGUGGGGUAACGGCUCACCUAGGCGACGAUCCCUAGCUGGUCUGAGAGGAUGACCAGCCACACUGGAACUGAGACACGGUCCAGACUCCUACGGGAGGCAGCAGUGGGGAAUAUUGCACAAUGGGCGCAAGCCUGAUGCAGCCAUGCCGCGUGUAUGAAGAAGGCCUUCGGGUUGUAAAGUACUUUCAGCGGGGAGGAAGGGAGUAAAGUUAAUACCUUUGCUCAUUGACGUUACCCGCAGAAGAAGCACCGGCUAACUCCGUGCCAGCAGCCGCGGUAAUACGGAGGGUGCAAGCGUUAAUCGGAAUUACUGGGCGUAAAGCGCACGCAGGCGGUUUGUUAAGUCAGAUGUGAAAUCCCCCGGGCUCAACCUGGGAACUGCAUCUGAUACUGGCAAGCUUGAGUCUCGUAGAGGGGGGUAGAAUUCCAGGUGUAGCGGUGAAAUGCGUAGAGAUCUGGAGGAAUACCGGUGGCGAAGGCGGCCCCCUGGACGAAGACUGACGCUCAGGUGCGAAAGCGUGGGGAGCAAACAGGACUAGAUACCCUGGUAGUCCACGCCGUAAACGAUGUCGACUUGGAGGUUGUGCCCUUGAGGCGUGGCUUCCGGAGCUAACGCGUUAAGUCGACCGCCUGGGGAGUACGGCCGCAAGGUUAAAACUCAAAUGAAUUGACGGGGGCCCGCACAAGCGGUGGAGCAUGUGGUUUAAUUCGAUGCAACGCGAAGAACCUUACCUGGUCUUGACAUCCACGGAAGUUUUCAGAGAUGAGAAUGUGCCUUCGGGAACCGUGAGACAGGUGCUGCAUGGCUGUCGUCAGCUCGUGUUGUGAAAUGUUGGGUUAAGUCCCGCAACGAGCGCAACCCUUAUCCUUUGUUGCCAGCGGUCCGGCCGGGAACUCAAAGGAGACUGCCAGUGAUAAACUGGAGGAAGGUGGGGAUGACGUCAAGUCAUCAUGGCCCUUACGACCAGGGCUACACACGUGCUACAAUGGCGCAUACAAAGAGAAGCGACCUCGCGAGAGCAAGCGGACCUCAUAAAGUGCGUCGUAGUCCGGAUUGGAGUCUGCAACUCGACUCCAUGAAGUCGGAAUCGCUAGUAAUCGUGGAUCAGAAUGCCACGGUGAAUACGUUCCCGGGCCUUGUACACACCGCCCGUCACACCAUGGGAGUGGGUUGCAAAAGAAGUAGGUAGCUUAACCUUCGGGAGGGCGCUUACCACUUUGUGAUUCAUGACUGG